AACUGGAAAGCUGCAAAAACGCACUACUAGCUCUGCUCUGUUGUGAGUCAUAGAGAGAUUGGGAAAUCAGCGAAUUGUGGACAAAUUCUAUGUUUCAUUGAAAGCAUAUGGCCGAGUUAGCUAUUUUUUUAAUCAAAGGUACAUCGGUUUUGAGUUAGGAAAUAUAAACUUUUCCACCUAAAAUGAUUGCAAAAAAUCCUUAUUUUUACGUGGCGGACUGCAUCAACAACGGAGAUCUGUAACAACUGCAUGUGGCUCUGGUGGGGCCGUACUCUGUGACGUGUGCCCUUGUUUGGAGCUUGACGUCACAGAUGCAAGUUUUAUGGGGGGGGAAGAAGGAGCUGGCACAAAAUUUGAAAGACUCAUCACAGGUAGCCUAAAGUUUGUUGUGAAAAGUGGAAAUCCGAAGAGAUGGCAGCAAGAGCAAGCUGGUAUUCGGUCCCUGGCUGCAAGAAAUCUAGAGAAGAAGGAACAAAAUGUCCCUGUUUUCUGUUGAAAGAUGCAGAAGAUGGCAAGUAGCUAUAAAAAUCUGUAAAUACGAUGUAAACACUGCUACAGCCAAUCUUGCAAAUCUACUGUACUUGUGUGUAGUAGCCUAAGCAAUUCAUCAACGAUGGCUACCAGAGAGAUAUACAAUCAGAAUGGGGGAAAAACGCUGAAAACUCACACAGCUGUUCCUUCUGUAUUCCCACAGACUGGAUAUGCUGCCGUGCCAAAAUACAGAGGCAAGUGUCAAAGCAAACAUUCAGAGUCACAGUACGAAACCUGACACACAUCACAGGCUGGGAGCAGCACAUACUGUACCAGUGUGAAAACCCCAUAUGGCGAUAUUUAGCUUUAAUGGCAUUUACCACGCAGGAUGGGAGAGGAAUUAUGACUGCUGGACGCAGUGUCUCACCACGGAUGAACGACUCCAAAACGAUGUGGUAUGAGACCAGUCUGAACUGUCUGGAAUGACAAUUACAGAUCGAAGGGCGGGGACAUGUGUGCUGGAGUCAGAGCAGAUACUCAGCCCUGCCACUUCCAUGCUGCCAGAUCGUAAUUUCUGCUCAUUCUGCCCACUCUGACUCUGGUCCCUGUCUCCAGUCCCUCGUCUCGUCACCCUGCUACACUGUCCUGGAUUCCCCACUCUACUACUCCCUCAGAUUCCCCUCCAGACCUGCUUACACUGUCUCAACCCCUCUCGCCUCAGCCUCCACACCUGGUUUCCAGCAACCCGCCCAAGCUUCCCCUGACCUGCACUCUAUCUCCCCCUGUGUUUCAA
Long non-coding RNA from Oncorhynchus kisutch (coho salmon), 1264 nucleotides. RefSeq lists it as uncharacterized. The record is from RefSeq and is a predicted model, not a curated record. Lineage: Eukaryota; Metazoa; Chordata; Actinopteri; Salmoniformes; Salmonidae. The transcript is spliced from 3 exons.